AGAACGAACGCUGGCGGCAUGCCUAAUACAUGCAAGUCGAACGAAGGCUUCGGCCUUAGUGGCGCACGGGUGCGUAACGCGUGGGAAUCUGCCCCUUGGUUCGGAAUAACAGUUGGAAACGACUGCUAAUACCGGAUGAUGACGAAAGUCCAAAGAUUUAUCGCCAAGGGAUGAGCCCGCGUAGGAUUAGCUAGUUGGUGAGGUAAGGCUCACCGAAGGCGACGAUCCUUAGCUGGUCUGAGAGGAUGAUCAGCCACACUGGGACUGAGACACGGCCCAGACUCCAGGGAGCAGCAGAGGAAUAUGGACAGUGGGCAAAGCCUGAUCCAGCAAGUCGACCGCGUGAGUACGAGUU
This 355-nucleotide ribosomal RNA is filed under the name uncultured soil bacterium. RNAcentral describes it as "bacterial SSU rRNA". It matches the Rfam family "Bacterial small subunit ribosomal RNA", at positions 26 to 417 of the family's 1533-position model. The record is from RNAcentral.